This 366-nucleotide ribosomal RNA is filed under the name Microbacterium paraoxydans. RNAcentral's name for it is "bacterial SSU rRNA". It matches the Rfam family "Bacterial small subunit ribosomal RNA", at positions 59 to 424 of the family's 1533-position model. Lineage: Bacteria; Bacillati; Actinomycetota; Actinomycetes; Micrococcales; Microbacteriaceae. The record is from RNAcentral.
AAGUCGAACGGUGAACACGGAGCUUGCUCUGUGGGAUCAGUGGCGAACGGGUGAGUAACACGUGAGCAACCUGCCCCUGACUCUGGGAUAAGCGCUGGAAACGGCGUCUAAUACUGGAUAUGUGACGUGACCGCAUGGUCUGCGUUUGGAAAGAUUUUUCGGUUGGGGAUGGGCUCGCGGCCUAUCAGCUUGUUGGUGAGGUAAUGGCUCACCAAGGCGUCGACGGGUAGCCGGCCUGAGAGGGUGACCGGCCACACUGGGACUGAGACACGGCCCAGACUCCUACGGGAGGCAGCAGUGGGGAAUAUUGCACAAUGGGCGAAAGCCUGAUGCAGCAACGCCGCGUGAGGGAUGACGGCCUUCGCC